AUCGCUUCUCGGCCUUUUGGCUAAGAUCAAGUGUAGUAUCUGCUCUUAUCAGUUUAAUAUCUGAUACAAACUCUAUCUGCGGGCAAUAUAUUAAAUGGAUUUUUGGAACUAGGAGUUGGAAUAGGAGCUUGCUCCGUCCAUUCCAUGCAUCAUCGACUUGGUAUUGCAGUACUUCCAGGAAUGGUGCACCCCU
RNAcentral lists this small nuclear RNA (193 nucleotides) under Mus pahari (shrew mouse). RNAcentral's name for it is "predicted gene, 22973 (MGP_PahariEiJ_G0033777.1)". It matches the Rfam family "U2 spliceosomal RNA". From Rfam's summary of the family: U2 is a small nuclear RNA (snRNA) component of the spliceosome (involved in pre-mRNA splicing). Complementary binding between U2 snRNA (in an area lying towards the 5' end but 3' to hairpin I) and the branchpoint sequence (BPS) of the intron results the bulging out of an unpaired adenosine, on the BPS, which initiates a nucleophilic attack at the intronic 5' splice site, thus starting the first of two transesterification reactions that mediate splicing. The record is from RNAcentral. Lineage: Eukaryota; Metazoa; Chordata; Mammalia; Rodentia; Muridae.